AUAUUUUUUCCUUCUCUCAUCAGGUAAAAAUAUACCUUUUCUUAUCAUUUUAAUAUCUGCUACAUCCUGCAUCACAGGACUGGAACAUUAAACUCAUUUUUGCCGUAUGACAGAGUGCUAAGAGCAUGCUCUACCUCUGUAACUGGUUGCCUCCUUACUUUCGAGCUCUGUUAGUCACCAAAUCCUU
Molecule: small nuclear RNA, 187 nt
Organism: Schistocerca nitens (vagrant locust)
Lineage: Eukaryota; Metazoa; Arthropoda; Insecta; Orthoptera; Acrididae
Product: U2 spliceosomal RNA
Exons: 1
Source: RefSeq, a predicted model, not a curated record